Molecule: long non-coding RNA, 827 nt
Organism: Homo sapiens (human)
Lineage: Eukaryota; Metazoa; Chordata; Mammalia; Primates; Hominidae
Gene: ADAMTS9-AS1
Product: ADAMTS9 antisense RNA 1
Source: Ensembl
GUUGCCAUGCAGAAUGUCUGUUGGUCAGUUGGGCACAUCUGCACACAUUUACAAUAUCUGCCACCUCUUUUAACCCUCAACCCCGCCCCACAAAAUGAGUGAUGGUGCUUGUUGAUUUGCAGAUUCACAGUCUGGUGAGACAAGUUUGAGAUCUCAUAUUUUCAGCUCAUCCUUGAAAACCUUUCUUCGAUUUGACUGACCUUGAUGGCUCCCUGGAAUCUCACCUACAUUUUAUGGGAAAUUCAACUCUCCAGAGAGAAGAGCUUUCAGAUAGCUGCGGGACUUGCAACUGUGACUUUCAGCUUUCGCUUUUGAAUGAGGCUCCAAAUGUCUCAAUGGUGGCACUAUUUCCAGAUUUGGGAGCCCUGCAAAGCUAAUCUGCUCAACCUUCACCUACUGGGUUCAAUGAAUAUGAAAAGCUGCCUUCCUGAAACUUUUCCUUCAAAGAGGGAAUGAUCUCCUGGAAUUCAAGCUUCUACAAGGUGGCUACCUGGUGUUUUCCACUUUUGCCGUCUCCUAAAAAGCAUCAUUCAAGCCUUGCCCUUUCAACCCACUGAACACAUAAACAUGCUUUCUCCUUAACUGAACUUAUGGCCACGAUGAACUUGAACUCUGAGAUUCACAGAGGAGAGUUUGUUUUAACAGCUGCUUUUACAAUGAAGCCCUGGAGUUACUACUCUCAAGACCCCUGGUUCUGAUAGGCCAUCUUUUCACUGUCCUCUGCAUUUUCUAAUGCCCAGCUGUCAAGGAACACCCACUGAAGUUUUCCAAAACAAAGGCACGAAACACAAGAAAGAGAACUGUGUGCAGGCCCAAGGAGAACAACU